This 253-nucleotide ribosomal RNA is filed under the name uncultured bacterium. RNAcentral's name for it is "partial 16S ribosomal RNA". It matches the Rfam family "Bacterial small subunit ribosomal RNA", at positions 524 to 776 of the family's 1533-position model. The record is from RNAcentral.
UACGUAGGGGGCAAGCGUUGUCCGGAUUCAUUGGGCGUAAAGCGCGUGUAGGCGGCCAGGUAGGUCCGGUGUGAAAACUCGAGGCUCAACCUCGAGACGCCGGUGGAAACCGUAAGGCUAGAGUCCGGAAGAGGAGAGUGGAAUUCCUGGUGUAGCGGUGAAAUGCGCAGAUAUCAGGAAGAACACCCGUGGCGAAGGCGGCUCUCUGGGACGGUACUGACGCUGAGACGCGAAAGCGUGGGGAGCGAACAGG